AUAAUAUAAGAGUUCUUAAAAGGAAGAUGCACAGAUUAUAAUGAACUGCCAUAUAACUUUUAUUAAUUUAUAAUUCAUAUACAAUUUACAUAUAAAGAGUACAAUCAUCUACAGUUAGACAAUUGAUUUUAAGAUACAAUUCUCAAUCUAGACCUCAUGGUGGAGCCAUUGUCUUAUGGAAAAAAAGAUAUGGGAGAGAUAGAUAAGGUGAAAGGAAGG
This 219-nucleotide long non-coding RNA is filed under the name Elaeis guineensis (African oil palm). RNAcentral's name for it is "long non-coding RNA (EGUI_LNC018073)". Lineage: Eukaryota; Viridiplantae; Streptophyta; Magnoliopsida; Arecales; Arecaceae. The record is from RNAcentral.